GUGCUCGCUUCGGCAGCACAUAUACUAAAAAUUGGAACGAUACAGAGAAGAUUAGCAUGGCCCCUGCCCAAGGAUGACACGCAAAUUCGUGAAGCGUUCUAUAUAUAA
Molecule: small nuclear RNA, 108 nt
Organism: Myotis lucifugus (little brown bat)
Lineage: Eukaryota; Metazoa; Chordata; Mammalia; Chiroptera; Vespertilionidae
Source: Ensembl